This 29-nucleotide non-coding RNA is filed under the name Mus musculus (house mouse). Lineage: Eukaryota; Metazoa; Chordata; Mammalia; Rodentia; Muridae. The record is from RNAcentral.
GGCCUUUCCAUCACCAGCACAAAACACCA